This 275-nucleotide ribosomal RNA is filed under the name uncultured bacterium. RNAcentral describes it as "partial 16S ribosomal RNA". It matches the Rfam family "Bacterial small subunit ribosomal RNA", at positions 399 to 691 of the family's 1533-position model. The record is from RNAcentral.
GCGUGAGUGAAGAAGGCCUUAGGGUUGUAAAACUCUUUCGCCAGGGAAGAUAAUGACGGUACCUGGUAAAGAAGCCCCGGCUAACUCCGUGCCAGCAGCCGCGGUAAUACGGAGGGGGCUAGCGUUGUUCGGAAUUACUGGGCGUAAAGCGUGCGUAGGCGGAUCUUUAAGUUGGGGGUGAAAUCCCGGGGCUUAACCCCGGAACUGCCUCCAAAACUAUAGAUCUAGAAUCCUGGAGAGGUGAGUGGAAUUCCUAGUGUAGAGGUGAAAUUCGU